RNAcentral lists this ribosomal RNA (490 nucleotides) under uncultured bacterium. RNAcentral describes it as "bacterial SSU rRNA". It matches the Rfam family "Bacterial small subunit ribosomal RNA", at positions 903 to 1397 of the family's 1533-position model. The record is from RNAcentral.
AAAUGAAUUGACGGGGGCCCGCACAAGCAGUGGAUUAUGUGGUUUAAUUCGAAGCAACGCGAAGAACCUUACCAAGGUUUGACAUCCCGAUGACCGGUCUAGAGAUAGAUCUUUCUCUUCGGAGACAUCGGUGACAGGUGGUGCAUGGUUGUCGUCAGCUCGUGUCGUGAGAUGUUGGGUUAAGUCCCGCAACGAGCGCAACCCUUAUUGCUAGUUGCUACGCAAGAGCACUCUAGCGAGACUGCCGUUGACAAAACGGAGGAAGGUGGGGACGACGUCAAAUCAUCAUGCCCCUUAUAUCUUGGGCUACACACGUAAUACAAUGGCACUCAACAAAGGGAAGCAAAGCCGCGAGGUGGAGCAAAUCCUCAAAAAGUGUCCCAGUUCGGACUGCAGUCUGCAACUCGACUGCACGAAGUCGGAAUUGCUAGUAAUCGCGGAUCAGCAUGCCGCGGUGAAUACGUUCCCGGGCCUUGUACACACCGCCCGU